GUCUUGAAACACGGACCAAGGAGUCUAGCAUGUGCGCGAGUCAUUGGGAUAUAUAGAAUACCUAGACGCGCAAUGAAAGUGAAGGCCGGCCCUAGCGCCGGUCGAGGGAGGAUGCGGACGGCCUCGGCCGCCCGCCGCACUCCCGGGGCGUCUCGCCCUCAUCGCGAGGAGAGGCGCACCCAGAGCGUACACGCUGGGACCCGAAAGAUGGUGAACUAUGCCUGGUCAGGACGAAGUCAGGGGAAACCCUGAUGGAGGUCCGUAGCGAUUCUGACGUGCAAAUCGAUCGUCGGAACUGGGUAUAGGGGCGAAAGACUAAUCGAACCAUCUAGUAGCUGGUUCCCUCCGAAGUUUCCCUCAGGAUAGCUGGCGCUCGCUUUUGCGAGUCUCAUCCGGUAAAGCGAAUGAUUAGAGGCAUUGGGGUCGAAACGGCCUCAACCUAUUCUCAAACUUUAAAUGGGUGAGAUCUCCGGCUUGCUUGAACCAAUCAAUGAAGCCGCGAGAUUUCGGAUCAGAGUGCCAAGUGGGCCAUUUUUGGUAAGCAGAACUGGCGCUGUGGGAUGAACCAAACGCAGAGUUAAAGCGCCUAAAUCGACGCUCAUGGGAUACCAUGAAAGGCGUUGGUAACUUAAGACAGCAGGACGGUGGCCAUGGAAGUCGGAAUCCGCUAAGGAGUGUGUAA
This 682-nucleotide ribosomal RNA is filed under the name Anthrenus scrophulariae. RNAcentral's name for it is "eukaryotic LSU rRNA". It matches the Rfam family "Eukaryotic large subunit ribosomal RNA", at positions 651 to 1285 of the family's 3401-position model. RNAcentral also lists the same sequence under 1 other name. Lineage: Eukaryota; Metazoa; Arthropoda; Insecta; Coleoptera; Dermestidae. The record is from RNAcentral.